This 445-nucleotide ribosomal RNA is filed under the name uncultured bacterium. RNAcentral's name for it is "SSU rRNA". It matches the Rfam family "Bacterial small subunit ribosomal RNA", at positions 26 to 518 of the family's 1533-position model. The record is from RNAcentral.
AGAGCGAACGCUGGCGGCAGGCCUAACACAUGCAAGUCGAGCGCCCCGCAAGGGGAGCGGCAGACGGGAGAGUAACACGUGGGAACGUACCCUUCAGUUCGGAACAACCCAGGGAAACUUGGGCUAAUACCGAAUACGUCCGUAAGGAGAAAGAUUUAUCGCUGAAGGAUCGGCCCGCGUCUGAUUAGCUUGUUGGUGAGGUAACGGCUCACCAAGGCGACGAUCAGUAGCUGGUCUGAGAGGAUGAUCAGCCUCACUGGGACUGAGACACGGCCCAGACUCCUACGGGAGGCAGCAGUGGGGAAUAUUGGACAAUGGGCGCAAGCCUGAUCCAGCCAUGCCGCGUGAGUGAUGACGGCCUUAGGGUUGUAAAGCUCUUUCGCUCGGGACGAUAAUGACGGUACCGAGAUAAGAACGCCCGGCUAACUUCGUAGCCAGCAGCCGC